RNAcentral lists this ribosomal RNA (2042 nucleotides) under marine metagenome. RNAcentral describes it as "bacterial LSU rRNA". It matches the Rfam family "Bacterial large subunit ribosomal RNA", at positions 386 to 2502 of the family's 2925-position model. The record is from RNAcentral.
CACGCUGCUAGCCGUUUGGCUCCCGAGUAGUAUGGGACACGUGAAAUCCCGUAUGAAUUUGCGAGGACCACCUCGUAAGGCUAAAUACUCCUAAGUCACCGAUAGCGAAUAGUACCGCGAGGGAAAGGUGAAAAGAACCCCUUUACGGGGAGUGAAAUAGAACAUGAAACCGUAUGCUUACAAUUUGUGGGAGGAUGAACACAUCUGACCGCAUGCCUGUUGAAGAAUGAUCUGGCGACUUAGAAGAAGUGGCAGGUUAAGAUUUUCCAUCGAAGCCAAAGCGAAAGCAUGUCUGAUAAGGGCUCUCGUCCCUUCUUCUAGACCCGAACCCAGGUGAUCUAACCAUGACCAGAAUGAAGCUUUGGUGAUACGAAGUGGAGGUUCGAACCGACCGAUGUUGAAAAAUCGACGGAUGAGUUGUGGUUAGGGGUGAAAUGCCAAUCGAACUUGGAGCUAGCUGGUUCUCCUCGAAAUGCGUUGAGGCGCAGCGGUCGAUUAUGGGCUUCUAGGGGGUAAAGCGCUGUCUCGGUGCGGGCUGCGAAAGCGGUACCAAUCUGUUGCAAACUCGGAAUACCUAGAACGCUUUCAAUCGGCCAGUGAGACUGCGGGGGAUAAGCUCCGUAGUCAAGAGGGAAACAGCCCAGACCACCAGCUAAGGCUCCUAAAUAAAAGCUAAGUGGCAAAGGAGGUGAAAAUGCAGUGACAAUCAGGAGGUUUGCCUAGAAGCAGCCACCCUUUAAAGAGUGCGUAAUAGCUCACUGAUCAAGCGUUUUCGCGCCGAAAAUGACCGGAACUAAGUUUUUUGCCGAAGCUGUGGCUACAUCACAUAGAUGAUGUAGGGUAGAGGAGCGUUCCGUCCAGGGGGAAGCCAAGCGCGUAAGCCGCGGUCGACAGGACGGAAGUGAGAAUGUCAGAUUGAGUAACGUAAACAUUGGUGAGAAUCCAAUGCCCCGAAAACUCAAGGGUUCCUGCGCAAGGCUCGUCCGCGCAGGGUCAGUCAGGACCUAAGGUGAGGCCGAAAGGCGUAAUUGAUGGCAAGAAGGUUUAUAUUCCUUCACUAAUCUAGGCUUAGUCCUGAGGGACGAACAAAUAACACUCGGCACAACGGCCACACUUGGCAGUAUGGAUAAACCCGUUGCUGUUUGAUGCUAUUUAUUCCAAGAAAAGCUCAUUCGACUUUGAGUCUAGAUUACCUGUACCGUAAACCGACACAGGUGAGUGGGUUGAAUAAACUAAGGGGAGCGAGAUAACUCUCUCUAAGGAACUCGGCAAAUUGGCUCUGUACCUUCGGAAGAAAGAGUGCCCCUUCAUGGGGCCGCAGUGAAGAGAUCCAGGCGACUGUUUACCAAAAACACAGGUCUCCGCAAAGUCGUAAGACGAUGUAUGGGGGCUGACACCUGCCCAGUGCCAGAAGGUUAAAGAAGUUGGUCAAUCUUUGAUGAAGCUAACAACUGAAGCCCUGGUGAACGGCGGCAGUAACUAUAACUGUCCUAAGGUAGCGAAAUUCCUUGUCGGGUAAGUUCCGACCCGCACGAAAGGUGUAACGAUCUGGAUACUGUCUCAGAGAGAGACUCGGUGAAAUAAAACUAGCUGUGAAGAUGCGGCUUACCUGCACACGGACAGAAAGACCCUAUGAAGCUUUACUGUAACCUGGAAUUGCUUUCAAGCUUAUUUUGCGCAGCUUAGGUGGGAGACGUUGAACUUCUUUUUCCGGAAAGGAGGGAGUCAUCAGUGAGAUACCACUCUUGGUAAGCUAGAGCGCUCAUUUCUAACCGUUAUCCGGUAGAAAGACAGUUUCAGGCGGGCAGUUUGACUGGGGCAGUCACCUCCCAAAAGGUAAUGGAGGUGCACAAAGGUUCCCUCAGGUUGGACGGAAAUCAACCAUAGAGUGUAAAAGCAUAAGCGAGCUUGACUGCGAGACUGACAUGUCAAGCAGAGACGAAAGUCGGUUUUAGUGAUCCGACGGUGCUGAGUGGAAAGGCCGUCGCUCAACGGAUAAAAGUUACUCUAGGGAUAACAGGCUGAUCUCCCCCAAGAGUUCA